Molecule: long non-coding RNA, 3353 nt
Organism: Gigantopelta aegis
Lineage: Eukaryota; Metazoa; Mollusca; Gastropoda; Neomphalida; Peltospiridae
Exons: 2
Source: RefSeq, a predicted model, not a curated record
UAUUAAAAAAUACGAGUGACGAAUUCUAUUUAUCAUAUCACUGUCAAUUUUGUUUAUUUUCCACUUAAAUGAUUAAUAAACAAAACCCCAACGCUCGGACGUAACAAUCUGUUAUGACGUAUGAAUACAUGUACAUGUCAAUCACUCAGCUGAUAAUCGGUUUGUCAAUACACCUUGAAGGUUAUCUAUCCUUUCUGAAACUAGGUUAAAAGCGGAAACAAAGAUUGUAGCUAUUUAAACAAUUUAAUACUAAUUUAACAGUUUUAUAUAUAAACAAUGAAAUUAUAAUAAAAUAAUUGACAAUAGCCAAAUUUUUCAAAAUAACUUUUCGCGGCAUUUUGCCGAGUACUACGUCAUUGUCAGACAUAGGCCUAUCUACGUCACUGACCUAUUUAAGGGCUUCAUCAAGUUCAGUCUUAGUCUGUCGAAAAUAAGUCUUCGUCGUUUUAGGGGGACAACAGGACGUUUAGGCUGAGCCACAUUUAUUACGAUGUUGCUUUAGAAAGAGGUUGGCAUCACAGGAUAAAUGUGAAAGCUGGCGAGCAACAGCUUGGUAUUUACAAGAUGAUACCAUGUUUGUAUCAAGAGGCAACACUACUGCCAGUCCAGUGCAAGUUGAUGCAGGAGAGGAAGACUGGGCGUCAGUUCCGGACCAGGGGCCUGCCCCCCUAAAUUUUGCGACAGUUAUAAUUUUAUUACAUAUUAAUUUUCUCUUCUUUUUUUUUACGAUCCCCUCCAAAGUUCCAUUUUAAAUUUAAAUUUAAAUUCAGUGACUUUAUUACUGAUAAUAACUUAAUUGACUGUCACGGUAACUGCACAGUUAUUGCUAAAUGUGUGAAUCAACUCGCCAUCGGGUAUGAUCAAAAAUGCAUGUAAAUUACCAGCAUUAAGCUAGUUGCAACUAGGUAAUCGAACUCCGACGACUGUUCAUAACACGUGCAUUGCAGGGGCCACCGGAUUGCAGGGUGGUGACAGAUUAUACAUAGUCGAACCGUGGCUACGAUGUAGUACCGGUGUUUUAUUAUAGAAAUUGGCCUUCGUGACAGAUUUCUAAACAGAAAUUAUGCCAUUAUUAUAAAAAUGUCUUUAUAAUGAGAUGUUGUGUGUAUAUAUUAUCUUUAGUAUCGUAUGCAGAUGAUAUAGUGUUACUGAGCUGAUAAUGAACUUAUAAUGAGCUGGUGUGUGUAUCGUCAACGUCCCCAACUGCGUUAUGCUUCCAACUCCGUUCACUUUGUUUUCUCGUGCACGGUUCGCGCAAUCAACAUACGAUUUGUUUUCAUCAGCAUGUCGUUAAUUUCAGAGGUUUUUCUUCACAGUUCAGGAACAUUUUCAUUAACAAUAAAGUUCAGAAAAGUAAGUAUCUAAAUACAAAACUUUACAAACCCCUAACACCAUUAAUUUUACUAAGUCGUUUUUGUUUAUUCCUUAAAAUUACCGAUAUCGGGUCCACAUGACUCGUAGAAAUUGACUUAAACUGGAGAAAGAUGAAUUAACAUUCGGUGCAUAUCACAUGAUCUCACACGUGCCACAUCAACAAGCCUAAAGCAUUAAACGUUUACGAUUUUUAACACCCCUGUUGUUAGAAUUUGUUUUCAAUUAUUAUAUUCGAUCUGCAAAAUGUAUGCUACAUUUUUGUGCCUCUGUUGUAGUGAAUAGUUUUUAUAAUCCAUUCAUAACAAUUGUAAAUAAUUUUGAGUGUAUAAAUUGUGUUAAUUAAGAAUCAAUUGGUUAAAAAAAAAAUAUUUUUUAACUAUUCACUGGUAUAAACGUGAUGCCUAUCAGUAAUGACAUCAAGUGUUAGCGAUGUGUGUUGAUAAAACGCGGACCGGACCACAACGCUUGACAAAUUGAAUUUUUCCUUUUAAAAACAUAUUAAACUAAGUGUUCGACAACUGUGCAUAGUUAAGACACAUAUUUUUGUUUAUAUAGUGGCAUUAAAAAUGGAAAAUGACGAAUCGCACAUGCGCGCUACGACACUUUUUGCAAACGCAUGCGCCUGAACGCAGUUAGAAACGUCGCACUCUUUCCUGUUUACCGGAGGGUGUUUCACUUUACUUUACUAGAAUAUAUUUGCUUUACGUCCACAUUGUAGAUUUUUCACGUUAAUUGAUUGCAAUCUGUUUUGUUUCACGUAUCGUAGCUCAAAAAUGUAGAAUAGUAUUUCCGUAAAUAUCUUAUUCGUGUUUUUGUCGUUAGGUGAACGCAGUUUGGGACGUAGAUGGUAUAUAUUAUUUUUAUUAUCGUAUGCAGAUGAUAUAGCGUUAUUGGCAUAUAAUUAUGAUGACUUACACUUAUGCUUAGAUACUAUUCAUGAUUAGCGUAUACACUGGAAAUUAGCCGUUAAUAUUGAAAAGACAAAGAUAAUGGUAUUUCAAAAAGGAGGGAGGUUGGCAAAUAGUAUGAAGUUUAAAUAUGGUGAUAGUAAUGUAGAAAGUGUAAGUAGAUUUUCAUAUUUAGGUGUAUUGUUCACACCAAAUAGUUCGUAUACUGAAAUGCCAAAAAAGCAUUAGUAGGUCUGGCACAAAAAAGGCAUCUAUCAAAUGAGAAAGUACUUAAAAUCAUUUCUGUCACUAAAACCUAGUCAUGUAUGCAGUAUUUUCGAUAAGCUUAUAUAUCCUAUUUUAUGCUAUGGUUGUGAAGUAUGGGGUUUUACUUCAGGGUUGUAUUUAGAAAGAAUGCAUUUGAAGUUUUGUAAACAAACAUUAGGGGUGAAACAAAAGCAAUAUUUGGAUAAUAUUUAUAUUCAGAAAUUUAGAUAAGCAUUGGUCAGACUUCGUGUAGCAUCACAUAGAUUAUCGGCUGAAACAUGAAGACGGAAUAAGCCUAACCCUAUUUUAUUAGAACACAGAACGUGCAUAUAUGUAAUGACAUAAGAAGAUGAAUAUCAUUUUGUACUUUGUAUGAUAGCAUACGAAAAAAGUAUAUUCCACAUUAGUUUAGAAAAUACCCUAGUAUGUUCAAAUUCAUUGAUUUGUGUAACGAUAAUAAUGCUCAGGUAUUAAGAAAUUUAGCUCUGUAUUGUUUUAAAGCAUACCAACUAAGGAAUAAUAUACUAUCUAAAGCUUCUCCGUAACACGACAAUCUUUACGUAUAUCUUUAAUUACUUGUUCAUGAAACAACCGUCUUUUGGGGCAUAUAUAUAUAUAUAUAUAUAUAUAUAUAUAUAUAUAUUUGUGUCAAUAUACCACCACAUUUUAUUUUAUUUUAUCUGUGUUUAUAUUGUGAAUGCCAAUAGGCCUAUUGCAAUACACAUUAUUAUUAUUAUUUAUGUGUUAAAUUAGUGUAAUAAAAUUUUAUUGUGAUACAGUUUCUGUUACAAAACGUUGUGUAGGCUAAUAAAUUGUUGCCAGUGA